Molecule: ribosomal RNA, 468 nt
Filed under: uncultured bacterium
Lineage: Bacteria
Description: partial 16S ribosomal RNA
Rfam family: Bacterial small subunit ribosomal RNA
Source: RNAcentral
GACGAACGCUGGCGGCGUGCUUAACACAUGCAAGUCGAACGGAAAGGCCCUGCUUUUGUGGGGUGCUCGAGUGGCGAACGGGUGAGUAACACGUGAGUAACCUGCCCUUGACUUUGGGAUAACUUCAGGAAACUGGGGCUAAUACCGGAUAGGAGCUCCUGCUGCAUGGUGGGGGUUGGAAAGUUUCGGCGGUUGGGGAUGGACUCGCGGCUUAUCAGCUUGUUGGUGGGGUAGUGGCUUACCAAGGCUUUAACGGGUAGCCGGCCUGAGAGGGUGACCGGCCACAUUGGGACUGAGCUACGGCCCAGACUCCUACGGGAGGCAGCAGUGAGGAAUAUUGCACAAUGGGCGGAAGCCUGAUGCAGCAACGCCGCGUGCGGGAUGACGGCCUUCGGGUUGUAACCCGCUUUCGCCUGUGACGAAGCGUGAGUGACGGUAAUGGGUAAAGAAGCACCGGCUAACUACGUG